RNAcentral lists this ribosomal RNA (1433 nucleotides) under uncultured organism. Its description in RNAcentral is "16S ribosomal RNA". It matches the Rfam family "Bacterial small subunit ribosomal RNA". The record is from RNAcentral.
GCGGCGUGCUUAACACAUGCAAGUCGAACGGUAAGGCCCUGCUUUUGUGGGGUGCUCGAGUGGCGAACGGGUGAGUAACACGUGAGUAACCUGCCCUUGACUUUGGGAUAACUUCAGGAAACUGGGGCUAAUACCGGAUAGGAGCUCCUGCUGCAUGGUGGGGGUUGGAAAGUUUCGGCGGUUGGGGAUGGACUCGCGGCUUAUCAGCUUGUUGGUGGGGUAGUGGCUUACCAAGGCUUUGACGGGUAGCCGGCCUGAGAGGGUGACCGGCCACAUUGGGACUGAGAUACGGCCCAGACUCCUACGGGAGGCAGCAGUGGGGAAUAUUGCACAAUGGGCGGAAGCCUGAUGCAGCAACGCCGCGUGCGGGAUGACGGCCUUCGGGUUGUAAACCGCUUUCGCCUGUGACGAAGCGUGAGUGACGGUAAUGGGUAAAGAAGCACCGGCUAACUACGUGCCAGCAGCCGCGGUGAUACGUAGGGUGCGAGCGUUGUCCGGAUUUAUUGGGCGUAAAGGGCUCGUAGGUGGUUGAUCGCGUCGGAAGUGUAAUCUUGGGGCUUAACCCUGAGCGUGCUUUCGAUACGGGUUGACUUGAGGAAGGUAGGGGAGAAUGGAAUUCCUGGUGGAGCGGUGGAAUGCGCAGAUAUCAGGUGGAACACCAGUGGCGAAGGCGGUUCCCUGGGCCUUUCCUGACGCUGAGGAGCGAAAGCGUGGGGAGCGAACAGGCUUAGAUACCUUGGUAGUCCACGCUGUAAACGGUGGGUACUAGGUGUGGGGUCCAUUCCACGGGUUCCGUGCCGUAGCUAACGCUUUAAGUACCCCGCCUGGGGAGUACGGCCGCAAGGCUAAAACUCAAAGGAAUUGACGGGGCCCCGCACAAGCGGCGGAGCAUGCGGAUUAAUUCGAUGCAACGCGUAGAACCUUACCUGGGUUUGACAUGGAUCGGGAGUGCUCAGAGAUGGGUGUGCCUCUUUUGGGGUCGGUUCACAGGUGGUGCAUGCCUGUCGUCAGCUCGUGUCGUGAGAUGUUGGGUUAAGUCCCGCAACGAGCGCAACCCUUGUUCACUGUUGCCAGCACGUUAUAGUGGGGACUCAGUGGAGACCGCCGGGGUCAACUCGGAGGAAGGUGGGGAUGACGUCAAGUCCUCAUGCCCCUUAUGUCCAGGGCUUCACGCAUGCUACAAUGGCUGGUACAGAGAGUGGCGAGCCUGUGAGGGUGAGCGAAUCUCGGAAAGCCGGUCUCAGUUCGGAUUGGGGUCUGCAACUCGACCUCAUGAAGUCGGAGUCGCUAGUAAUCGCAGAUCAGCAACGCUGCGGUGAAUACGUUCCCGGGGCUUGUACACACCGCCCGUCAAGUCAUGAAAGUUGGUAACACCCGAAGCCGGUGGCCUAACCGUUGUGGGGGAGCCGUCGAAGGUGGGACUGGUGAUUAGG